Non-coding RNA from Thamnophis sirtalis, 1380 nucleotides. The record is from RefSeq and is a predicted model, not a curated record. NCBI's taxonomy places the organism in Eukaryota, Metazoa, Chordata, Lepidosauria, Squamata, Natricidae.
GGCCUUGUAUUUGAUAGCUACCAACGGGACACCAGAACUCCAGAAUCCCGAAAGACUUUCUGUGGUUUUCCGGGAUUUUUUGAACCGCUGCCUUGAGAUGGAUGUUGACAGGCGAGGGUCUGCGAAAGAACUCUUGCAGCACCCGUUUUUAAAACUGGCCAAGCCGCUAUCCAGCCUGACCCCCUUGAUUAUUGCUGCAAAAGAAGCUAUCAAGAACAGUAGCCGCUAGUUGCUCGAAUAGCACAGGCCUUGGCAGGACUGAACACCAGACCAACAAACUCUGUCACACCUUGGACUCUGCUGUGGCCGGACGGGCAGGCGAUGAGCCGCAUUGUCACUGUCAAUGGGGGAAGGGAAGCGGGAAUGACACCACUGAUCACAUCUCUUCUUUCCACUCUUUGAGAAUCCCUUAAUUUAUUUCUGAGGUGAAUGGAAGCUUCUGGAGCAGAAGCUAGACUGGACGUUUCUUUUGCUCCGUGCAGCGGUGUUUCCAGGGGACCACAGCACUGCAUGAUCAAACUCACUGGGACAAGAGUGCUAACACCCCCCCUCCACACACACACAAAAACAGCUCUCCUUUUUUGGGGGGCUUUCCAAAAGGAGGAGAACAAUCCUUUUUCUGCUUCACCUCACCAGGAAGAACCCAAACUGUUCCCUAGCUCCUGAUCAGCGGGCUUUGGUUCUAAGAAGAAGAGAAUCACCAAGGAAGGCUUGCUUUAUUUAACCAAAAAGAAAAAAAGAAAGAAUAUCAUAAUAACAGUGAGGACGAUGAUGACGAUGACAGUAAACCCAGAAGUUGAUCGAUAGCAGCAUCUUCUUGUGGGGAUGGGGUGGGGUGGUUAUCCUUUGGAAUAGAUGAGACAGAGAGCAUUGCAGUUCUGAGAGCCUAAAAGAGAACAAUGUCGUUAUGUUGAUGACGUCACCUUGGCGUCAUGGUGAUGAUGUCACGAUGCAUAUUGGUGCUUUUGUGUUGAUGAGUUUUUUUCCCUCUCCCCCCCAAUGAAAAAGAAAAGAGGUUGACGUAGAGAAAAGAACCAGGAGAGCUGAUUUGAAUGGAAUGGCAAAUGCUUUUGUAUCUGGCAAUAGGAUCGGUGCCUAUCCUCUUCUCCAGAAUCCUGAGCACUUCUUCUCCAGAGCAUCUCCUGAGGCUCAUUUCUCCAGGGUUGCUCCAUUCCACAUUCUGGAGGGUCAGGCUCACUCCCUAUUUAUUGUCUGAAUUGCCCCAUGCUUAAAUUCAAAUCCACGGGAAGAAAUGUCCUUUCAAAUUGGAGAACUUCUUAAUAUGAAACCUGAUCAGUCAUCCUGCCCACCCAUAAAUCUUGCAGGAAAGAAAGUCUCCCAGGGCAUCAGCCUGAAUCCAGGUGAAAGCUCACUUCAAAC